This 468-nucleotide ribosomal RNA is filed under the name uncultured bacterium. RNAcentral describes it as "partial 16S ribosomal RNA". It matches the Rfam family "Bacterial small subunit ribosomal RNA", at positions 28 to 507 of the family's 1533-position model. The record is from RNAcentral.
GACGAACGCUGGCGGCGUGCUUAACACAUGCAAGUCGAACGGAAAGGCCCUGCUUUUGUGGGGUGCUCGAGUGGCGAACGGGUGAGUAACACGUGAGUAACCUGCCCUUGACUUUGGGAUAACUUCAGGAAACUGGGGCUAAUACCGGAUAGGAGCUCCUGCUGCAUGGUGGGGGUUGGAAAGUUUCGGCGGUUGGGGAUGGACUCGCGGGUUAUCAGCUUGUUGGUGAGGUAGUGGCUUACCAAGGCUUUGACGGGUAGCCGGCCUGAGAGGGUGGACGGCCACAUUGGGACUGAGAUACGGACCAGAAUCCUACGGGAGGCAGCAGUGGGGAAUCUUGCGCAGUGGGCGGACGCCUGAUGCAGCGACGCCGCGUGCGGAAUAACGGCCUUCGGGUUGUAAACCGCUUUCGCCGGUGCCGAAGCGUGAGUGACGGUAAUGGGUAAAGAAGCACCGGCUAACUACGUG